RNAcentral lists this non-coding RNA (29 nucleotides) under Homo sapiens (human). The record is from RNAcentral. Lineage: Eukaryota; Metazoa; Chordata; Mammalia; Primates; Hominidae.
UGCAAAUACUUCCAAUGCAUUUUGUGUCC